RNAcentral lists this ribosomal RNA (442 nucleotides) under uncultured Alphaproteobacteria bacterium. RNAcentral's name for it is "bacterial SSU rRNA". It matches the Rfam family "Bacterial small subunit ribosomal RNA", at positions 29 to 505 of the family's 1533-position model. Lineage: Bacteria; Pseudomonadati; Pseudomonadota; Alphaproteobacteria. The record is from RNAcentral.
AACGAACGCUGGCGGCAGGCCUAACACAUGCAAGUCGAACGCGAACGGUUCUUCGGAACUUAUUAGAGUGGCGCACGGGUGAGUAACGCGUGGGAAUAUACCCUGUAGUUCAGAAUAACCAUUGGAAACGAUGGCUAAUACUGGAUACGCUCUUCGGAGGAAAGAUUUAUCGCUAUAGGAUUAGCCCGCGUGACAUUAGCUUGUUGGUAAGGUAAAAGCUUACCAAGGCGACGAUGUCUAGCUGGUCUGAGAGGAUGAUCAGCCACACUGGAACUGAGACACGGUCCAGACUCCUACGGGAGGCAGCAGUGAGGAAUAUUGGGCAAUGGGCGAAAGCCUGACCCAGCCAUGCCGCGUGUGUGAUGAAGGCCCUAGGGUUGUAAAGCACUUUCAUUGGUGAAGAUAAUGACGGUAACCAAAGAAGAAGCCCCGGCUAACUUCG